Molecule: ribosomal RNA, 252 nt
Filed under: uncultured bacterium
Lineage: Bacteria
Description: partial 16S ribosomal RNA
Rfam family: Bacterial small subunit ribosomal RNA
Source: RNAcentral
UACGUAGGCAGCAAGCGUUGUUCGGAGUUACUGGGCGUAAAGGGUGUGUAGGCGGUUCUUUAAGUUCGCUGUGAAAUCUCCCGGCUUAACCGGGAGGGUGCGGUGAAUACUGAGGGACUAGAGUACGGGAGAGGAAAGUGGAAUUCCUGGUGUAGCGGUGAAAUGCGUAGAUAUCAGGAGGAACACCUGUGGCGAAAGCGGCUCACUGGACCACAACUGACGCUGAUGCACGAAAGCUAGGGGAGCAAACAG